This 497-nucleotide ribosomal RNA is filed under the name Bacillus safensis. RNAcentral's name for it is "bacterial SSU rRNA". It matches the Rfam family "Bacterial small subunit ribosomal RNA", at positions 1 to 486 of the family's 1533-position model. The record is from RNAcentral. Lineage: Bacteria; Bacillati; Bacillota; Bacilli; Caryophanales; Bacillaceae.
UAGAGUUUGAUCCCUGGCUCAGGACGAACGCUGGCGGCGUGCCUAAUACAUGCAAGUCGAGCGAACAGAAGGGAGCUUGCUCCCGGAUGUUAGCGGCGGACGGGUGAGUAACACGUGGGUAACCUGCCUGUAAGACUGGGAUAACUCCGGGAAACCGGAGCUAAUACCGGAUAGUUCCUUGAACCGCAUGGUUCAAGGAUGAAAGACGGUUUCGGCUGUCACUUACAGAUGGACCCGCGGCGCAUUAGCUAGUUGGUGGGGUAAUGGCUCACCAAGGCGACGAUGCGUAGCCGACCUGAGAGGGUGAUCGGCCACACUGGGACUGAGACACGGCCCAGACUCCUACGGGAGGCAGCAGUAGGGAAUCUUCCGCAAUGGACGAAAGUCUGACGGAGCAACGCCGCGUGAGUGAUGAAGGUUUUCGGAUCGUAAAGCUCUGUUGUUAGGGAAGAACAAGUGCGAGAGUAACUGCUCGCACCUAGACGGUACCUAACCAG